GGACCUAGAAACAAGAUUAAGAAGAAAAAAGAUAUAUUAAUAAAAAUACAUAGAUUAGGUAAGAGUAUAAAAUACUUACCAUAUGAUAUUCUUAUUUCUAAUUAAAUAUCAAAAAAUCCUAAGUACAUAAAGUAUAUGCUUUAAUACAUCCUAAUAGAUGAUAAGAUGUCAUAGAAUAUAUUUGAUAUAUCCUUUGAUGCAUGUAUAAUUUAAAACAUGAAAAUUAUUGAUAAAGGAAAAAAAAAAAAACUUUAAGUAAUGGAUGUUGGAUGUAGAAA
RNAcentral lists this long non-coding RNA (278 nucleotides) under Physcomitrium patens. RNAcentral's name for it is "long non-coding RNA (PPAT_LNC014539)". The record is from RNAcentral. Lineage: Eukaryota; Viridiplantae; Streptophyta; Bryopsida; Funariales; Funariaceae.